RNAcentral lists this ribosomal RNA (497 nucleotides) under uncultured bacterium. RNAcentral describes it as "partial 16S ribosomal RNA". It matches the Rfam family "Bacterial small subunit ribosomal RNA", at positions 28 to 507 of the family's 1533-position model. The record is from RNAcentral.
GAUGAACGCUGGCGGCGUGCCUAAUACAUGCAAGUCGAGCGAACAGACGAGGAGCUUGCUCCUCUGACGUUAGCGGCGGACGGGUGAGUAACACGUGGAUAACCUACCUAUAAGACUGGGAUAACUUCGGGAAACCGGAGCUAAUACCGGAUAAUAUAUUGAACCGCAUGGUUCAAUAGUGAAAGACGGUUUUGCUGUCUCUUAUAGAUGGAUCCGCGCCGCAUUAGCUAGUUGGUAAGGUGACGGCCUACCAAGGCAACGAUGCGUAGCCGACCUGAGAGGGUGAUCGGCCACACUGGAACUGAGACACGGUCCAGACUCCUACGGGAGGCAGCAGUAGGGAAUCUUCCGCAAUGGGCGAAAGCCUGACGGAGCAACGCCGCGUGAGUGAUGAAGGUCUUCGGAUCGUAAAACUCUGUUAUUAGGGAAGAACAAAUGUGUAAGUAACUAUGCACGUCUUGACGGUACCUAAUCAGAAAGCCACGGCUAACUACGUG